UCUUCCGUAGCUCAAUUGGCUAGAGCGUCUGACUGUUAAUCAGGAGGUUCCUGGUUCAAUCCCAGGCGGGAGAG
This is a non-coding RNA of Hypoxylon sp. NC1633, 74 nucleotides long. The record is from the annotation of a GenBank genome assembly. NCBI's taxonomy places the organism in Eukaryota, Fungi, Ascomycota, Sordariomycetes, Xylariales, Hypoxylaceae.